UAAUACGGAGGGUGCAAGCGUUGUCCGGAUUUAUUGGGUUUAAAGGGUGCGUAGGUGGCCCUAUAAGUCAGUGGUGAAAGUCUGCAGCUUAACUGUAGAACUGCCAUUGAUACUGUAGGGCUUGAGUACUGAUGAGGUAGGCGGAAUUGAUAGUGUAGCGGUGAAAUGCAUAGAUAUUAUCAAGAACACCGAUUGCGAAGGCAGCUUACUAAGGAGUUACUGACACUGAGGCACGAAAGCGUGGGGAUCAAACAGGAUUAGAUACCCUGGUAGUCCACGCCAUAAACGAUGAUUACUCGAUGUAUGCGAUAGACUGUAUGCGUCCAAGCGAAAGCGUUAAGUAAUCCACCUGGGGAGUACGACCGCAAGGUUG
This 373-nucleotide ribosomal RNA is filed under the name uncultured bacterium. Its description in RNAcentral is "bacterial SSU rRNA". It matches the Rfam family "Bacterial small subunit ribosomal RNA", at positions 521 to 896 of the family's 1533-position model. The record is from RNAcentral.